UCAUCACCUGUUUAAACAUUUUAGAUUUUGUUUCUCUCUCUCGUUGCAGUUUCUUAACCUUCCCUUUGAAAACCCUAGCCGCCGCUAUCAUUCCGGCCGUCGCCCCCUCCGUCCAGUAAACUUUGACAAAAUAAAAUACAUAUUUUUUAUGCUCUCUUUCUCCUCUAUAUUUAUAUUAAAGUGUAUUUUAAAAAGGAGCAAUCUUGAAAAUUAGUGGAUGUGCAUUUUUCAACCUUCAACUGUUCACCUAUGAUGAAGCCAUGAACAACUCUCUCUAUAGACCAACAACAAAGGAAUCAAAGACAUCAAAAGAAUAAAAAAAUCAUAUCUAGUUUAAAUCUGUAUUUUUUUUGCAUCUUUGUGAGGUUCACACCAGAGCUCCGCCACAAAAGCUCCACUCCGGUCAACUUUGAACUCAUUAAUAUGACAUUCAUCAUUUGCUGAAGAGAUGAAGAUAAAAAAAUGGAGAAACAAAAAAAGUUAGAUGAUAAAAUGACAUGAUAUUAUUUAUGAAGAAAUUGCAUAAAAGCUAAAUGUGGAAGUUUUUUUUUUUCAUACCUUAAUCUUUUGUGUAGCAUGAAGUUUUUCAUCUUCUUGUUUGUUAGAUAGAGAAAAAUAUCAUUUUUGCAAAAUACAACAUAAUCAAGUUAGAAAAAAUAUAGUUAAAAAUGAGGAGAAAGAAUAAGAACAAAGAAAGAAGAUGAGAGGAAGUGAUAUAAAUUUCAAAUGGGUAUAUAAUGAAAUGAAAGUUACAAAGAGUGGGAAAAUGUUUUGGAUUUGAAUUUGAAUUUUGAAAGGAAAAGU
Long non-coding RNA from Trifolium pratense (red clover), 804 nucleotides. RefSeq lists it as uncharacterized. The record is from RefSeq and is a predicted model, not a curated record. The transcript is spliced from 2 exons. NCBI's taxonomy places the organism in Eukaryota, Viridiplantae, Streptophyta, Magnoliopsida, Fabales, Fabaceae.